Molecule: ribosomal RNA, 492 nt
Filed under: uncultured bacterium
Lineage: Bacteria
Description: partial 16S ribosomal RNA
Rfam family: Bacterial small subunit ribosomal RNA
Source: RNAcentral
AGUGAACGCUGGCGGUAGGCCUAACACAUGCAAGUCGAACGGCAGCACAGUAAGAGCUUGCUCUUACGGGUGGCGAGUGGCGGACGGGUGAGGAAUACAUCGGAAUCUACUUUUUCGUGGGGGAUAACGUAGGGAAACUUACGCUACUACCGCAUACGACCUCCGGGUGAAAGCAGGGGAUCUUCGGACCUUGCGCGAUUGAAUGAGCCGAUGUCGGAUUAGCUAGUUGGCGGGGUAAAGGCCCACCAAGGCGACGAUCCGUAGCUGGUCUGAGAGGAUGAUCAGCCACACUGGAACUGAGACACGGUCCAGACUCCUACGGGAGGCAGCAGUGGGGAAUAUUGGACAAUGGGCGCAAGCCUGAUCCAGCCAUACCGCGUGGGUGAAGAAGGCCUUCGGGUUGUAAAGCCCUUUUGUUGGGAAAGAAAAGCAGCAGGUUAAUACCCCGCUGUUCUGACGGUACCCAAAGAAUAAGCACCGGCUAACUUCGUG